This 1168-nucleotide ribosomal RNA is filed under the name uncultured Bacteroides sp. Its description in RNAcentral is "bacterial SSU rRNA". It matches the Rfam family "Bacterial small subunit ribosomal RNA", at positions 10 to 1177 of the family's 1533-position model. The record is from RNAcentral. Lineage: Bacteria; Pseudomonadati; Bacteroidota; Bacteroidia; Bacteroidales; Bacteroidaceae.
AGUUUGAUCCUGGCUCAGGAUGAACGCUAGCUACAGGCUUAACACAUGCAAGUCGAGGGGCAGCAUUGGAGUAGCAAUACUUCAGAUGGCGACCGGCGCACGGGUGAGUAACACGUAUCCAACCUGCCGCUUACUCGGGGAUAGCCUUUCGAAAGAAAGAUUAAUACCCGAUGGUAUAAAGAGUUCGCAUGUUCUCUUUAUUAAAGAAUUUCGGUAAGCGAUGGGGAUGCGUUCCAUUAGAUUGUUGGCGGGGUAACGGCCCACCAAGUCUACGAUGGAUAGGGGUUCUGAGAGGAAGGUCCCCCACAUUGGAACUGAGACACGGUCCAAAUCCUACGGGAGGCAGCAGUGAGGAAUAUUGGUCAAUGGACGAGAGUCUGAACCAGCCAAGUAGCGUGAAGGAAGACUGCCCUAUGGGUUGUAAACUUCUUUUAUAAGGGAAUAAAGUGAGGGACGUGUCCCUUUUUGUAUGUACCUUAUGAAUAAGGAUCGGCUAACUCCGUGCCAGCAGCCGCGGUAAUACGGAGGAUCCAAGCGUUAUCCGGAUUUAUUGGGUUUAAAGGGAGCGUAGGUUGACCUAUAAGUCAGCUGUGAAAGUUUACGGCUCAACCGUGAAAUUGCAGUUGAUACUGUAUGUCUUGAGUGUACAAGAGGUGGGCGGAAUUCGUGGUGUAGCGGUGAAAUGCUUAGAUAUCACGAAGAACUCCAAUUGCGAAGGCAGCUCACUGGGGUACAACUGACACUGAGGCUCGAAAGUGUGGGUAUCAAACAGGAUUAGAUACCCUGGUAGUCCACACAGUAAACGAUGAAUACUCGCUGUUUGCGAUAUACAGUAAGCGGCCAAGCGAAAGCAUUAAGUAUUCCACCUGGGGAGUACGCCGGCAACGGUGAAACUCAAAGGAAUUGACGGGGGCCCGCACAAGCGGAGGAACAUGUGGUUUAAUUCGAUGAUACGCGAGGAACCUUACCCGGGCUUGAAUUGCAGAGGAACAUAGUUGAAAGAUUAUGGCCGCAAGGUCUCUGUGAAGGUGCUGCAUGGUUGUCGUCAGCUCGUGCCGUGAGGUGUCGGCCUAAGUGCCAUAACGAGCGCAACCCUUAUCAUUAGUUACUAACAGGUCAUGCUGAGGACUCUAGUGAGACUGCCGUCGUAAGAUGUGAGGAANGUGGA